GACGAACGCUGGCGGCGUGCCUAAUACAUGCAAGUCGAACGCUUCUUUUUCACCGAACUUCGGUUCAUCGAAAAAGAGGAGUGGCGAACGGGUGAGUAACACGUGGGUAACCUGCCCAUCAGAAGGGGAUAACACUUGGAAACAGGUGCUAAUACCGUAUAAUGCUUUUUCUCGCAUGAGAGCAAACUGAAAGGCGCUUUUGCGUCACUGAUGGAUGGACCCGCGGUGCAUUAGCUAGUUGGUGAGGUAACGGCUCACCAAGGCCACGAUGCAUAGCCGACCUGAGAGGGUGAUCGGCCACACUGGGACUGAGACACGGCCCAGACUCCUACGGGAGGCAGCAGUAGGGAAUCUUCGGCAAUGGACGAAAGUCUGACCGAGCAACGCCGCGUGAGUGAAGAAGGUUUUCGGAUCGUAAAACUCUGUUGUUAGAGAAGAACAAGGAUGAGAGUAAAAUGUUCAUCCCUU
Molecule: ribosomal RNA, 468 nt
Filed under: Enterococcus sp. oral taxon A43
Lineage: Bacteria; Bacillati; Bacillota; Bacilli; Lactobacillales; Enterococcaceae
Description: bacterial SSU rRNA
Rfam family: Bacterial small subunit ribosomal RNA
Source: RNAcentral